This 301-nucleotide ribosomal RNA is filed under the name uncultured bacterium. RNAcentral's name for it is "partial 16S ribosomal RNA". It matches the Rfam family "Bacterial small subunit ribosomal RNA", at positions 509 to 809 of the family's 1533-position model. The record is from RNAcentral.
CAGUCGCCGCGGUAAUACGGAGGAUCCAAGCGUUAUCCGGAAUCAUUGGGUUUAAAGGGUCCGUAGGCGGUCUUGUAAGUCAGUGGUGAAAGCCCAUCGCUCAACGGUGGAACGGCCAUUGAUACUGCAGGACUUGAAUUAUUGGGAAGUAACUAGAAUAUGUAGUGUAGCGGUGAAAUGCUUAGAGAUUACGUGGAAUACCAAUUGCGAAGGCAGGUUACUACCAAUUGAUUGACGCUGAUGGACGAAAGCGUGGGUAGCGAACAGGAUUAGAUACCCCAGUAGUCCCUGUCUCUUAUAA